GACGAACGCUGGCGGCGCGCCUAACACAUGCAAGUCGAACGAGAGAUGAGGAGCUUGCUCUUCAAAUCGAGUGGCGAACGGGUGAGUAACGCGUGAGGAACCUGCCUCAAAGAGGGGGACAACAGUUGGAAACGACUGCUAAUACCGCAUAAGCCCACGGCUCGGCAUCGAGCAGAGGGAAAAGGAGCAAUCCGCUUUGAGAUGGCCUCGCGUCCGAUUAGCUAGUUGGUGAGGUAACGGCCCACCAAGGCGACGAUCGGUAGCCGGACUGAGAGGUUGAACGGCCACAUUGGGACUGAGACACGGCCCAGACUCCUACGGGAGGCAGCAGUGGGGAAUAUUGCACAAUGGGGGAAACCCUGAUGCAGCGACGCCGCGUGGAGGAAGAAGGUCUUCGGAUUGUAAACUCCUGUUGUUGAGGAAGAUAAUGACGGUACUCAACAAGGAAGUGACGGCUAACUACGUGCCAGCAGCCGCGGUAAAACGUAGGUCACAAGCGUUGUCCGGAAUUACUGGGUGUAAAGGGAGCGCAGGCGGGAGAACAAGUUGGAAGUGAAAUCCAUGGGCUCAACCCAUGAACUGCUUUCAAAACUGUUUUUCUUGAGUAGUGCAGAGGUAGGCGGAAUUCCCGGUGUAGCGGUGGAAUGCGUAGAUAUCGGGAGGAACACCAGUGGCGAAGGCGGCCUACUGGGCACCAACUGACGCUGAGGCUCGAAAGUGUGGGUAGCAAACAGGAUUAGAUACCCUGGUAGUCCACACCGUAAACGAUGAUUACUAGGUGUUGGAGGAUUGACCCCUUCAGUGCCGCAGUUAACACAAUAAGUAAUCCACCUGGGGAGUACGACCGCAAGGUUGAAACUCAAAGGAAUUGACGGGGGCCCGCACAAGCAGUGGAGUAUGUGGUUUAAUUCGACGCAACGCGAAGAACCUUACCAAGUCUUGACAUCCCUUGACGAUGCUGGAAACAGUAUUUCUCUUCGGAGCAAGGAGACAGGUGGUGUAUGGUUGUCGUCAGCUCGUGUCGUGAGAUGUUGGGUUAAGUCCCGCAACGAGCGCAACCCUUAUGGUCAGUUACUACGCAAGAGGACUCUGGCCAGACUGCCGUUGACAAAACGGAGGAAGGUGGGGAUGACGUCAAAUCAUCAUGCCCUUUAUGACUUGGGCUACACACGUACUACAAUGGCGUUAAACAAAGAGAAGCAAGACCGCGAGGUGGAGCAAAACUCAGAAACAACGUCCCAGUUCGGACUGCAGGCUGCAACUCGCCUGCACGAAGUCGGAAUUGCUAGUAAUCGUGGAUCAGCAUGCCACGGUGAAUACGUUCCCGGGCCUU
This 1333-nucleotide ribosomal RNA is filed under the name uncultured bacterium. RNAcentral's name for it is "bacterial SSU rRNA". It matches the Rfam family "Bacterial small subunit ribosomal RNA", at positions 28 to 1382 of the family's 1533-position model. The record is from RNAcentral.